RNAcentral lists this ribosomal RNA (548 nucleotides) under uncultured bacterium. Its description in RNAcentral is "partial 16S ribosomal RNA". It matches the Rfam family "Bacterial small subunit ribosomal RNA", at positions 355 to 895 of the family's 1533-position model. The record is from RNAcentral.
UGGGGAAUUUUGGACAAUGGGGGAAACCCUGAUCCAGCCAUCCCGCGUGUGCGAUGAAGGCCUUCGGGUUGUAAAGCACUUUUGGCAGGAAAGAAACGUCGCGGGUUAAUACCCCGCGGAACUGACGGUACCUGCAGAAUAAGCACCGGCUAACUACGUGCCAGCAGCCGCGGUAAUACGUAGGGUGCAAGCGUUAAUCGGAAUUACUGGGCGUAAAGCGUGCGCAGGCGGUUCGGAAAGAAAGAUGUGAAAUCCCAGAGCUUAACUUUGGAACUGCAUCUUUAACUACCGGGCUAGAGUGUGUCAGAGGGAGGUGGAAUUCCGCGUGUAGCAGUGAAAUGCGUAGAUAUGCGGAGGAACACCGAUGGCGAAGGCAGCCUCCUGGGAUAACACUGACGCUCAUGCACGAAAGCGUGGGGAGCAAACAGGAUUAGAUACCCUGGUAGUCCACGCCCUAAACGAUGUCAACUAGCUGUUGGGGUCUUCGGACCUUGGUAGCGCAGCUAACGCGUGAAGUUGACCGCCUGGGGGAGUACGGUCGCAAGAUU